This is a transfer RNA of Thermotalea metallivorans, 82 nucleotides long. It matches the Rfam family "tRNA". Rfam says of the family: Transfer RNA (tRNA) molecules are approximately 80 nucleotides in length. Their secondary structure includes four short double-helical elements and three loops (D, anti-codon, and T loops). Further hydrogen bonds mediate the characteristic L-shaped molecular structure. tRNAs have two regions of fundamental functional importance: the anti-codon, which is responsible for specific mRNA codon recognition, and the 3' end, to which the tRNAs corresponding amino acid is attached (by aminoacyl-tRNA synthetases). tRNAs cope with the degeneracy of the genetic code in two manners: having more than one tRNA (with a specific anti-codon) for a particular amino acid; and 'wobble' base-pairing, i.e. permitting non-standard base-pairing at the 3rd anti-codon position. NCBI's taxonomy places the organism in Bacteria, Bacillati, Bacillota, Clostridia, Peptostreptococcales, Thermotaleaceae. The record is from Rfam.
GGAGGGAUUCCCGAGUGGCCAAAGGGGGCGGACUGUAAAUCCGUUAGCUCAGCUUUCGGUGGUUCGAAUCCACCUCCCUCCA